This 776-nucleotide ribosomal RNA is filed under the name uncultured Neocallimastigales. Its description in RNAcentral is "partial large subunit ribosomal RNA". It matches the Rfam family "Eukaryotic large subunit ribosomal RNA", at positions 26 to 631 of the family's 3401-position model. Lineage: Eukaryota; Fungi; Neocallimastigomycota; Neocallimastigomycetes; Neocallimastigales. The record is from RNAcentral.
CGCAUCUGUGCAUGCAGCAUAUCAAUAAGCGGAGGAAAAGAAACUAACAAGGAUUCCCUUAGUAACGGCGAGUGAAGCGGGAAGAGCUCAAAUUUGAAAUCUUCAAGGUUUUACCUUGACGAAUUGUAGUUUAAAGAAGUGUUUUCUGUUGAAGUUUUGGUAAAAGUUCUUUGGAAUAGGACAUCAUAGAGGGUGAGAAUCCCGUAUUUGACCAUUAUUUUCAGCUGUGUGAUACACUCUCAAAGAGUCGGAUUGUUUGGGAAUGCAGUCCAAAAUGGGUGGUAAAUUUCAUCUAAAGCUAAAUAUUGGCGAGAGACCGAUAGCGAACAAGUACCGUGAGGGAAAGAUGAAAAGAACUUUGAAAAGAGAGUUAAACAGUACGUGAAAUUGUCAAAAGGGAAGCGUUUGACACCAGUGUUGUUUUCUCGAAAAUCAAUUAAAAAGAGUUAGAUUUUGUGUCGUAUUGACCUUAACAGCUUGCAUUCACUCUUUCCUAGCUUUUUUUAAUGCACUUUUCGUUUAACAAGUCAACAUCAGUUUCUUUUGUUGUAAAAAGGGUCAUUGGAAGGUGGCUUUCUCUUCGGAGAAAGUGUUUAUAGCCUUUGAUCUCUGCAAUCGGAGAGACUGAGGUCUGCAGCGUAGAUCCUUCGGGGUUAGAUACAUUUGUGCUAAGUUAUAGCUUUUUAUAGACAACUUGUUGACUAUGAUUAGUCUUGUAGCUUACUCGCUUAUGCUAUUUUACCUACGCUUAGGAUGUUGACGCGCGUGUGUGCGUG